Molecule: transfer RNA, 72 nt
Filed under: Camelus bactrianus (Bactrian camel)
Lineage: Eukaryota; Metazoa; Chordata; Mammalia; Artiodactyla; Camelidae
Also listed under: 2 other names
Rfam family: tRNA
About the family: Transfer RNA (tRNA) molecules are approximately 80 nucleotides in length. Their secondary structure includes four short double-helical elements and three loops (D, anti-codon, and T loops).
Source: Rfam by way of RNAcentral
GAAGGUCUAGCUCAGGGGUAGAGAGCAUGCUUAGCAUGCAUGAGGUCUUAGGUUCAAUCCCCAGUACUUCCA